RNAcentral lists this ribosomal RNA (347 nucleotides) under uncultured bacterium. RNAcentral describes it as "partial 16S ribosomal RNA". It matches the Rfam family "Bacterial small subunit ribosomal RNA", at positions 338 to 696 of the family's 1533-position model. The record is from RNAcentral.
CCUACGGGUGGCAGCAGUCGAGAAUCAUUCACAAUGGGGGAAACCCUGAUGGUGCGACGCCGCGUGGGGGAAUGAAGGUCUUCGGAUUGUAACCCCCUGUCAUGUGGGAGCAAAUUCAAAAGAUAGUACCACAAGAGGAAGAGAUGGAUAACUCUGUGCCAGCAGCCGCGGUAAUACAGAGGGCUCAAGCGUUGUUCGGAAUGAGUGGGCGUAAAGCGUGCGGAGGCGGUGUCGUAAGUCGUGUGUGAAAGGCGCGGGAUCAACCCGCGGACGGCACGUGAUACUGCCAGGCUAGAGUGAUGGAGGGGGAAGCGGAAUUCGCGGUGUAGCAGUGAAAUGCGUAGAUA